This is a non-coding RNA of Misgurnus anguillicaudatus (oriental weatherfish), 414 nucleotides long. Lineage: Eukaryota; Metazoa; Chordata; Actinopteri; Cypriniformes; Cobitidae. The record is from RefSeq and is a predicted model, not a curated record.
ACUCAUGUAAUUGGUGCAGUACCAUUCCCACCCUCUAGGGGGCAGUUGACUUAAGUGUAUUGAGUGAACUGGCUGCUUUUAGUUCAGAUGAAGAAGCCAGCUGGACAUGCAUCCAUGAGGUUGGAGAUGCAUCCCAGAUCUGAUGAAAGAUUAGAUUUUUUCGGUUGAUUUACCGUGUUUCUUUAUGAGAACUCUGAUUGGGUUUUAUGAGUGGAUUUUGAUUCUGCAUCGUGACCUACUUUUGAUUGGCGAGCCAGAGCCUUUUUGAUCUACACACGUGGAGUGAACCCACGCCCCCUUGUGGAUUUACGGGAUAUAACAGCUAAGCUGUGAUCUCACACACUUUGUACACACUACCCGGGUAGAAAAAUAUACAAAAAGGCCUUUACACACAUUCACAUUGAGAACUAUAUU